This 497-nucleotide ribosomal RNA is filed under the name uncultured bacterium. RNAcentral's name for it is "partial 16S ribosomal RNA". It matches the Rfam family "Bacterial small subunit ribosomal RNA", at positions 28 to 507 of the family's 1533-position model. The record is from RNAcentral.
GAUGAACGCUGGCGGCGUGCCUAAUACAUGCAAGUCGAGCGAACAGACGAGGAGCUUGCUCCUCUGACGUUAGCGGCGGACGGGUGAGUAACACGUGGAUAACCUACCUAUAAGACUGGGAUAACUUCGGGAAACCGGAGCUAAUACCGGAUAAUAUAUUGAACCGCAUGGUUCAAUAGUGAAAGACGGUUUUGCUGUCACUUAUAGAUGGAUCCGCGCCGCAUUAGCUAGUUGGUAAGGUAACGGCUUACCACGGCAACGAUGCGUAGCCGACCUGAGAGGGGGGUCGGCCACACUGGAGCUGAGACACGGUCCAGGCUCCUACGGGAGGCAGCAGUAGGGAAUCGUCCGCAAUGGGCGAAAGCCUGACGGAGCAACGCCGCGUGAGUGAUGAAGGUCUUCGGAUCGUAAAACUCUGUUAUGAGGGAAGAACAAAUGUGUAAGUAACUAUGCACGUCUUGACGGUACCUAAUCAGAAAGCAACGGCUAACUACGUG